RNAcentral lists this non-coding RNA (217 nucleotides) under Bacteroides sp. Lineage: Bacteria; Pseudomonadati; Bacteroidota; Bacteroidia; Bacteroidales; Bacteroidaceae. The record is from RNAcentral.
UAUAUCUUUGCAACGUUUUGUUCCGUCAAUCUUCCUUAGCGAGGGUUCGGAUGAAAAGGGAAUCGGGUGAAAGUCCCGAACAGUCCCGCUGCUGUGAGCUCCGUUUUUUAGGUUUGCUUAUCGAAACCCCACAAAGCCACUGUCCUAUGUUUUUACGGAUGGGAAGGCAAGGCAAGCCGGAGUAAGUCAGAAGACCUGCAAAACGUAUAUAAUUUUG